AUGGCGACCGAUGCGUCCCGCGCUCUAGGCGAAGACCGCGGCCCGGUCCCCGCGCCUCCACCGCCUUCUUCCAGGAGGAGGGGCCGUGCGGCGCCUGCCCGGGGGCCCUCAGGCCGCAGGCGGGCGCGAGCUUCAGGGAACUUAGGGGGCUCCCGCCUCCCCGGCCAUGCGAGCGGGAACAGUCUCCUCCACUCGGAGCGCCACUCAUCAUGCCUUACCUGGAUGAUGCAGAAGUCCCUGGAAACAGAAGGUCUCACCCUUCUUUAUCUUUCUCAUGGCUUUCCAAGGCUCUUUAUCAUGUUACUUUCCUGCUCAGAAUUCUUUAAUGACUUGCCUCAAUGACCAGAUAUAUGUGAUCUACAGUCAGCCUUCCAGCCUCAUCAUUCCUCUUCCAUUU
This 397-nucleotide long non-coding RNA is filed under the name Pan troglodytes (chimpanzee). Its description in RNAcentral is "lincRNA". The record is from RNAcentral. Lineage: Eukaryota; Metazoa; Chordata; Mammalia; Primates; Hominidae.